This 241-nucleotide ribosomal RNA is filed under the name uncultured bacterium. Its description in RNAcentral is "partial 16S ribosomal RNA". It matches the Rfam family "Bacterial small subunit ribosomal RNA", at positions 122 to 356 of the family's 1533-position model. The record is from RNAcentral.
UAACCUGCCCAAGAGACUGGGAUAACACCUGGAAACAGAUGCUAAUACCGGAUAACAACACUAGACGCAUGUCUAGAGUUUAAAAGAUGGUUCUUGCUAUCACUCUUGGAUGGACCUGCGGUGCAUUAGCUAGUUGGUAAGGUAACGGCUUACCAAGGCAAUGAUGCAUAGCCGAGUUGAGAGACUGAUCGGCCACAUUGGGACUGAGACACGGCCCAAACUCCUACGGGAGGCAGCAGCG